RNAcentral lists this ribosomal RNA (253 nucleotides) under uncultured bacterium. RNAcentral describes it as "partial 16S ribosomal RNA". It matches the Rfam family "Bacterial small subunit ribosomal RNA", at positions 524 to 776 of the family's 1533-position model. The record is from RNAcentral.
UACGUAGGGUGCGAGCGUUAAUCGGAAUUACUGGGCGUAUAGCGUGCGCAGGCGGUUUUGUAAGCCAGAUGUGAAAUCCCCGGGCUCAACCUGGGAAUGGCAUUUGGGACUGCAAGGCUGGAGUGCGGCAGAGGAGACUGGAAUUCCUGGUGUAGCAGUGAAAUGCGUAGAUAUCAGGAGGAACACCGAUGGCGAAGGCAGGUCUCUGGGCUGACACUGACGCUCAUGCACGAAAGCGUGGGGAGCAAACAGG